GUCCACGCCGUAAACGAUGGAUGCUAGGUGUGGGCGGUGUCGACUCCGUCCGUGCCGAAGCUAACGCAUUAAGCAUCCCGCCUGGGGAGUACGGCCGCAAGGCUAAAACUCAAAGGAAUUGACGGGGGCCCGCACAAGCAGCGGAGCAUGUGGUUUAAUUCGACGCGACGCGAAGAACCUUACCUGGGCUUGACAUGCACAGGAAUGUCGUAGAAAUACGGCAGCCCUUCGGGGCCUGUGCACAGGUGGUGCAUGGCUGUCGU
This 263-nucleotide ribosomal RNA is filed under the name uncultured bacterium. RNAcentral describes it as "partial 16S ribosomal RNA". It matches the Rfam family "Bacterial small subunit ribosomal RNA", at positions 793 to 1055 of the family's 1533-position model. The record is from RNAcentral.